CAAGGUAGCCGUAGGGGAACCUGCGGCUGGAUCACCUCCUUUCUAAGGAUCGGUCCGAAAGCGCUCUGGCUAGACCAGAGAAGAGCUUCGUACCUCUCGUAUAGAACAUAUGCCGCCGUCCUCAUGUCCCUUCAUCCUGAAAACUAGCGCAGCCGCGCUGGUUCGCCGCUUCGCCUUCAUGGCGGAAACGGUUGAGCCUAUGCGGUUGUGUGGUGGCUUGUUUGGGCCGGUAGCUCAGGUGGUUAGAGCGCACGCCUGAUAAGCGUGAGGUCGUAAGUUCAACUCUUACUCGGCCCACCAAUGCGCAGGCGCGAAGACGGAGCAGCAAAGCUGCACCGCAUCGCGCCAAGCACGGCCGACGGGGCCGCGAAAGCGGACCCCGUUCGACGUCGGUGCGGGCUUUGCCCGCACUUCUGUCAGGCCGACGCGUAAUGAUGGGGCCUUAGCUCAGCUGGGAGAGCGGUUGCUUUGCAAGCAUCAGGUCAUCGGUUCGAUCCCGAUAGGCUCCACCAUCGCACCUCAAGCGACACUAAUAACAGAAGAGACAGACAAGCAGGCACGGGCAAAGCCCGUGCUGACGUCGCAACGCAGAUGCUUCGCAUCGCGGCGGCCGGGCUUGUCGCACAAGCGAUUUAGCGUUGCUAAAUCGUCUUGGCAUCUGCGCCUUCCAGGGUGAAGACAUCAGUUUCCGGCGAGAGCCGGAAUAUCCAGGGCCUGCAGCGCAGGCCUUUGUUUGACAUUGUGAAUGGGUUUUAGAAAUCGAUGCUGCUCGGCGUCGCGUUUCUGCCAGGGCCUCCGGCAACGGAGAUCGCGGUGGAGACGUGUGACGCCAGCAAUUGAUGACUAUGCUGAGUGGAUUAUCCGCACCGAGAGACGAUGUAGCUGGAAACAGCCUUGUCGUUGGUGGUGUGGACUCUCAAGCGUGAGGUAAGGGCAAUUCGUGGAUGCCUUGGCGCAUACAGGCGAUGAAGGACGUGGCACGCUGCGAUAAGCUUGC
Molecule: transfer RNA, 997 nt
Filed under: Sphingomonas sp.
Lineage: Bacteria; Pseudomonadati; Pseudomonadota; Alphaproteobacteria; Sphingomonadales; Sphingomonadaceae
Description: partial contains 16S ribosomal RNA, 16S-23S ribosomal RNA intergenic spacer, and 23S ribosomal RNA
Rfam family: tRNA (bases 224-297)
Source: RNAcentral